RNAcentral lists this ribosomal RNA (492 nucleotides) under uncultured bacterium. Its description in RNAcentral is "partial 16S ribosomal RNA". It matches the Rfam family "Bacterial small subunit ribosomal RNA", at positions 29 to 507 of the family's 1533-position model. The record is from RNAcentral.
AGUGAACGCUGGCGGUAGGCCUAACACAUGCAAGUCGAACGGCAGCACAGUAAGAGCUUGCUCUUACGGGUGGCGAGUGGCGGACGGGUGAGGAAUACAUCGGAAUCUACUUUUUCGUGGGGGAUAACGUAGGGAAACUUACGCUAAUACCGCAUACGACCUACGGGUGAAAGCAGGGGAUCUUCGGACCUUGCGCGAUUGAAUGAGCCGAUGUCGGAUUAGCUAGUUGGCGGGGUAAAGGCCCACCAAGGCGACGAUCCGUAGCUGGUCUGAGAGGAUGAUUCGGCACAAUUGAACUGAGGCACCGUUCAGGACUCUUAGGGAGGCAGGAGGGGGGAAUAUUUGGCAAUGGGGGGAAGCCCUAACCCAGCCUUACGGGGUGGGUAAAGAGGCCCUUCGGGUUGAAAAGCCCUUUUGUGGGAAAGAAAAGGCGCCGGGUUAAUACCCCCCGUUCCGAAGGUUCCCAAAGAAUAAGCACCGGCUAACUUCGUG